AAAAAACUUAGAUCUAAUCCACCGUCACUCUCUCUGUCCCUCCAUUUAUUCUCUGCAGAAAAACACACACACACAGUCUCUCUCACGCUCUCUCAUCAUAUUCAUUCCCUUUUUGUAGUAUUUUUCUCCACAUUUACAUCUCCAGGAACUCAUUAUUGGGUUUCCCUCUCAUUAUUCCUAAUUCAGAUCUAUUGCUUCCUCAACAUUGCAGAUCAACUUUUCUCAAGAGUCUAAUUGUUUAAUCUCCUUAGUCAAGAUACUUGAUUUUAAUUGGUGCCUUAUCUAGACAAUUAUGAUUUCAAAGAGCUGAAGUAGAAAAGAGAAAGUUAAGUUUUUCCACGGACACAAAAAAAACCCAAAUGAUGCGAGGGAGAUCAGACGGAGCGCAAAAGAAGCGCUUGUGGACUUUUGUAGGUAUUGGGGCUGUCUUGGUUGUUUUCCUUUACAUGUAUUUUGGAUCCAAGAGCGGUGGUGAGUCUGCUCUUGAGUAUGGCAGCCGUUCUUUGAGGAAAUUGGGAUCGUCUUAUUUGGGUGGGGAUGAUAACUCUGAUCUCAGCAGCAGGCAAGAGGAGAAGUUUGGACUGGAAGAUGGUGAUGGUGGCAUCGUCCCUAAGAGUUUUCCAGUUUGUGAUGAUCGACAUUCAGAAUUAAUUCCGUGUCUGGACAGACAUCUCAUUUAUCAAAUGAGAUUAAAGUUGGAUUUGUCACUGAUGGAGCACUAUGAAAGACAUUGCCCCUUGCCAGAAAGACGUUAUAAUUGUCUGAUUCCUCCUCCUCCUGGAUACAAGGUGCCAAUUAAGUGGCCAAGAAGUAGAGAUGAGGUCUGGAAAUUGAACAUUCCUCAUACGCACCUUGCAAAUGAGAAAUCUGACCAGAACUGGAUGGUUGUGAAGGGUGAAAAGAUAGUAUUUCCUGGUGGAGGCACUCACUUUCACUAUGGAGCAGAUAAGUACAUUGCGCUAAUUGCCAACAUGCUGAACUUUACAAACAAUAACUUGAACGAUGAGGGAAGGAUACGGACAGUUUUUGAUGUUGGUUGCGGUGUGGCUAGCUUUGGUGGUUAUCUUCUAUCCUCUGAUAUUAUAGCAAUGUCAUUGGCACCAAAUGAUGUGCAUCAGAAUCAAAUACAGUUUGCUUUAGAGAGAGGAAUUCCUGCAUACCUUGGUGUCCUUGGAACGAAAAGACUGCCUUAUCCAAGCAGGUCAUUUGAAUUUUCUCACUGUUCUCGUUGUAGGAUUGAUUGGCUUCAAAGGGAUGGAAUCCUUCUCCUUGAGCUCGAUAGGGUACUUAGACCUGGAGGCUAUUUUGCAUACUCAUCCCCUGAAGCAUAUGCACAGGAUGAAGAGGAUUUAAGAAUAUGGAGAGAGAUGAGUACACUUGUUGAACGCAUGUGCUGGAGAAUUGCAGCGAAAAAGAACCAAACUGUCAUUUGGCAAAAACCUCUAAACAAUGAUUGUUACAUGGAAAGACCUCCUGGUACGCAGCCACCACUCUGUCGAUCUGAUAAUGAUCCAGAUGCUGUCUGGGGUGUGAAUAUGGAGGCAUGCAUAACACCUUAUUCUGAACAUGACCACAAAGUCAGUGGAAGUGGACUGGCUCCUUGGCCAGCUCGAUUAAGUAGUCCUCCUCCCCGUCUUGCUGACUUUGGGUAUUCGAAUGAAAUGUUUGAAAAGGACACGGACACUUGGAGGGAGAGGGUUGACCAUUAUUGGAGUCUGUUAAGUUCUAAGAUUUCAUCAGACACCUUGAGAAAUAUCAUGGACAUGAAGGCUAACUUGGGGUCAUUUGCUGCUGCUCUGAAGGACAAAAACGUAUGGGUCAUGAACGUUGUACCCAAAGAUGGACCCAACACUCUCAAGAUUGUAUACGACCGAGGCUUGAUUGGCACAACACAUGACUGGUGUGAAGCAUUCUCAACCUAUCCCAGGACCUAUGAUUUGCUCCACGCUUGGACAGUCUUCUCUGAUGCUGAGAAGAAAGGUUGCAGUGGUGAGGACUUGUUACUCGAGAUUGAUCGCAUACUAAGGCCUACAGGUUUCGUUAUCAUCCGUGAUAAACAACAUAUUAUCGAAUUCAUAAAGAAGCAUUUAUCAGCAUUGCACUGGGAAGCAGUUGCAUCAACUGAUUCCACCUCGGAUCCCGAGCAGGACAACGAUGAGGUUGUUUUCGUCGUGCAAAAGAAACUGUGGCUCACAAGUGGAAGCAUCAGAGAUACAGAAUAGAUAGCAGAGUUUGUAACACAUUUUGCUAAUUCAUUUUCUCUCUAGGCCUUUAGGGUGUUGAAGAAAAAAAAAUGUAUGCCCUUAAUUUUCAGUUUGAAUUUGUAUUUGCGUGUUAUUUAUUUUCUUUUUUUACUCCCAACGCAUUUUUAUGUAAGUUUACAAACUGAGAGACUACAUAAUGUAU
RNAcentral lists this unclassified non-coding RNA (2406 nucleotides) under Hevea brasiliensis (rubber tree). Lineage: Eukaryota; Viridiplantae; Streptophyta; Magnoliopsida; Malpighiales; Euphorbiaceae. The record is from RNAcentral.